RNAcentral lists this ribosomal RNA (465 nucleotides) under uncultured bacterium. RNAcentral describes it as "partial 16S ribosomal RNA". It matches the Rfam family "Bacterial small subunit ribosomal RNA", at positions 28 to 507 of the family's 1533-position model. The record is from RNAcentral.
GACGAACGCUGGCGGCGUGCUUAACACAUGCAAGUCGAACGGAAAGGCCCCUUCGGGGGUCCUCGAGUGGCGAACAGGUGCGUAACACGUGGGUAACCUGCCCUUGACUUCGGGAUAACUUCAGGAAACUGGGGCUAAUACCGGAUAGGAAUCCUUGCUGCAUGGUGGGGGUUGGAAAGCUUCUGCGGUUUUGGAUGGACUCGCGGCUUAUCAGCUUGUUGGUGGGUUAGUGGCUUACCAAGGCUUUGACGGGUAGCCGGCCUGAGGGGGCGACCGGCCACAUUGAGACUGAGAGACGGCCCAGGCGCCUACGGGUGGAAGCAGUGGGGAAGAUUGAACAAUGGGCGGCGGGCUGAUGCAGAAGGGCCGCGGGCGGGAUGACGGCCUUGGGGUGGUAAAACGCCAUCAGGUGGAGACAAGGUUGUGGUGACGGUACCUGAAGAAGAAGCACCGGCUAACUACGUG